GCCUUCGUGGUGUAGUGAUCAGCACGCUCGACGCGUAUUCGAGAGGUCGUGGGUUCGAGUCCCGGCGAGGGUA
Molecule: transfer RNA, 73 nt
Filed under: Stegodyphus mimosarum
Lineage: Eukaryota; Metazoa; Arthropoda; Arachnida; Araneae; Eresidae
Rfam family: tRNA
About the family: Transfer RNA (tRNA) molecules are approximately 80 nucleotides in length. Their secondary structure includes four short double-helical elements and three loops (D, anti-codon, and T loops). Further hydrogen bonds mediate the characteristic L-shaped molecular structure. tRNAs have two regions of fundamental functional importance: the anti-codon, which is responsible for specific mRNA codon recognition, and the 3' end, to which the tRNAs corresponding amino acid is attached (by aminoacyl-tRNA synthetases). tRNAs cope with the degeneracy of the genetic code in two manners: having more than one tRNA (with a specific anti-codon) for a particular amino acid; and 'wobble' base-pairing, i.e. permitting non-standard base-pairing at the 3rd anti-codon position.
Source: Rfam by way of RNAcentral